CUAAAUGUGAUUUCGUUUAGUAGUUAUGUUUGAACUUAAUGGGAUUGUAGUUGCAAAUACGAUUUCAUCUUAGUGUUUUUGGCUUGCUCGAGAGAGAGGUUUUAAAACUAAGACUACUAAAUCGAUAGCCGGUGGUUAUUGGGUCGUCGUGGGUUCAGCUCGAGAGAGUGAAUCCUAGACCUUCUCCCACACAUUCAGCUCGAGAGGUGAAUGGGCUAAGGAGGAGGUUGUGCUAUAGUGCUGCCACUCGGUGUUCGAGAGAAACUGAGUUAAUUCGGGGUAAGUUGUUCGAGAGAAAAUUUACCCACUAAAGUCUAGCCUAGUUACAAAUAUUCAGCGAUUCACUAUCAAUAGC
RNAcentral lists this long non-coding RNA (355 nucleotides) under Solanum tuberosum (potato). RNAcentral describes it as "long non-coding RNA (STUB_LNC010730)". Lineage: Eukaryota; Viridiplantae; Streptophyta; Magnoliopsida; Solanales; Solanaceae. The record is from RNAcentral.